GUGCACCAGUCGCGAAACCUCCGCAAUGCACGCAAGUGCGACGGGGGGACCCCAAGUGCCACUCUUAACGGGGUGGCUUUUCAGGAGUGUAAAAAGCUCCUGGAAUAAGGGCCGGGCAAGACCGGUGCCAGCCGCCGCGGUAACACCGGCAGCUCGAGUGGUAGCCGCGUUUAUUGGGCCUAAAGCGUCCGUAGCCGGUCCGAUAAGUCUCUGGUGAAAGCCCACAGCUCAACUGUGGGAAUCGCUGGAGAUACUAUCGGACUUGAGGCCGGGAGAGGCUGGAGGUACUCCCAGGGUAGGGGUGAAAUCCUAUAAUCCUGGGAGGACCACCUGUGGCGAAGGCGUCCAGCUGGAGCGGACCUGACGGUGAGGGACGAAAGCCAGGGGCGCGAACCGGAUUAGAUACCCCUGUAGUCC
RNAcentral lists this ribosomal RNA (417 nucleotides) under uncultured Methanothermobacter sp. Its description in RNAcentral is "bacterial SSU rRNA". It matches the Rfam family "Archaeal small subunit ribosomal RNA", at positions 330 to 747 of the family's 1478-position model. Lineage: Archaea; Methanobacteriati; Methanobacteriota; Methanobacteria; Methanobacteriales; Methanobacteriaceae. The record is from RNAcentral.